Molecule: long non-coding RNA, 442 nt
Filed under: Heterocephalus glaber (naked mole-rat)
Lineage: Eukaryota; Metazoa; Chordata; Mammalia; Rodentia; Bathyergidae
Description: lncRNA (ENSHGLG00100037168.1)
Source: RNAcentral
GAAAAAGCUCCUAUAGGGAAUAAAUUUGGCAAGGCCUGUGAAAGAUGGGCCUGAGGUGUGGUGCAGUACAAAAUGCUUGUCUGAUGUGUACAAGGCCCUAGAUUUGAUUAUCUACAGCACCAGAAAACAUUCUCAGGAACUAAGAGCUCCUGAUCGUUAGGACAUAAGAAUAUGCUUUUAGAAUUCAGCAAUAAAAUGUAAAAUGGAUUGCCAGUGAGGAGUCUGAAAAUGAGCGGACUAGUUAAGAGCUAAUUGACAUAUUCCAGGCAAGAUAAAGAGAGGCUGGACUCAGGCAGAAGCAAUGGGAAUGGAAAUAAGGACUCCGCAUCAAGAGACUUUCAUUUCAAAAAAACAAAAGAUAUUUUAUGAGCAAAUGCAAUUGAUUGAGCACUGUGUGUUUUCAGAAGGAUGGCUCUACUGUUUUAAAUUUAGACAAAGGCCG